UCGAAGCGAGUAAGAUCCCUUGAAGAUGACGAGGUAGAUAGGUCCGAGGUGGAAGCGUGGUGACACGUGGAGCUGACGGAUACUAAUCGAUCGAGGACUUAACCAA
Molecule: ribosomal RNA, 106 nt
Filed under: Aeribacillus pallidus
Lineage: Bacteria; Bacillati; Bacillota; Bacilli; Caryophanales; Bacillaceae
Description: partial 23S ribosomal RNA
Rfam family: Bacterial large subunit ribosomal RNA
Source: RNAcentral